This is a long non-coding RNA of Gallus gallus (chicken), 324 nucleotides long. Lineage: Eukaryota; Metazoa; Chordata; Aves; Galliformes; Phasianidae. The record is from Ensembl.
CGCCCCGCUGCCCUCUGCUCCGGGGGCUGCCGGCGCAUCACCUCCAUCUGCGAGCUACCGCGCAGAAAUCUUUUUCCCCUUUAUUCCUUCUUUACACCCAGCCCUCCCGGCAGGUCGCUAACACGCAUUUCCUCCGGUUCUGACCGGCGGAAAAUGUAAACAGGCAGCGGGCAGCGGUGAGGCUCCGCCAUCGAACUUGUUGCUCAACUUACGAGGCGGUUCUCAUCUCCUCAUCAAAAGCCGCCGGGCUUUCUUCAGCCGUAUGGACAAAAAUGUGAACAACAAUGCCCGCCUCCCCUCACUUCAAAAGCGGCCAUCGCGGAG